GAUGAAGAACGCAGCGAAAUGCGAUAAGUAGUGUGAAUUGCAGAAUUCAGUGAAUCAUCGAAUCUUUGAACGCACAUUGCGCCCCUUGGUAUCCCGAGGGGCAUGCCUGUUCGAGCGUCAUUUCACCACUCAAGCCUGGCUUGGUGUUGGGCGACGUCCUCUUUGGGGACGCGCCUCGAAACGCUCGGCGGCGUGGCACCGGCUUUAAGCGUAGCAGAAUCUUUCGCUUUGGAAGUCGGGGCCCCGUCUUCCGGAAGACCUGCUCGCAAGGUUGACCUCGGAUCAGGCAGGGAUACCCGCUGAACUUAAGCAUAUCAAUAAGCGGAGGA
This 329-nucleotide unclassified non-coding RNA is filed under the name soil metagenome. RNAcentral describes it as "partial contains 5.8S ribosomal RNA, internal transcribed spacer 2, and large subunit ribosomal RNA". The stretch from base 1 to 120 matches the Rfam family "5.8S ribosomal RNA", at positions 35 to 154 of the family's 154-position model. The record is from RNAcentral.